This 152-nucleotide ribosomal RNA is filed under the name Megasphaera micronuciformis. RNAcentral's name for it is "partial 23S ribosomal RNA". It matches the Rfam family "Bacterial large subunit ribosomal RNA", at positions 1 to 148 of the family's 2925-position model. Lineage: Bacteria; Bacillati; Bacillota; Negativicutes; Veillonellales; Veillonellaceae. The record is from RNAcentral.
UUUCUGGUCAAGCGACCAAGGGCAUAAGGUGAAUGCCUUGGCACUGAGAGCCGAAGAAGGACGUGACAAGCUGCGAAAAGUCUCGGGGAGGAGCAAAUAUCCAUAGAUCCGGGAAUGUCCGAAUGGGGAAACCCACUUGAGCAAACCUCAAG